Molecule: ribosomal RNA, 460 nt
Filed under: uncultured bacterium
Lineage: Bacteria
Description: partial 16S ribosomal RNA
Rfam family: Bacterial small subunit ribosomal RNA
Source: RNAcentral
CCUACGGGCGGCAGCAGUGAGGAAUAUUGGUCAAUGGGCGCGAGCCUGAACCAGCCAAGUCGCGUGAGGGAGGACGGCCCUACGGGUUGUAAACCUCUUUUGCCGGGGAGCAACGGGCGCCACGUGUGGCGUCACUGAGAGUACCCGGAGAAAAAGCAUCGGCUAACUCCGUGCCAGCAGCCGCGGUAAUACGGAGGAUGCGAGCGUUAUCCGGUUUUAUUGGGUUAAAAGGGGGCGUCGGCGGCUCGUAAAGUCAGUGGGCAACUUGAGGGGCUCAACCCCUUCCCGCCGUUGGAACUGGCGUGCUUGAGUGGACGAGAGGUAUGCGGAAUGCGUGGUGUAGCGGUGAAAUGCAUAGAUAUCACGCAGAACCCCGAUUGCGAAGGCAGCAUGCCGGCUUCCGACUGACGCUGAAGCACGAAAGCGUGGGGAUCGAACAGGAUUAGAUACCCUAGUAGUC